Coregonus clupeaformis (lake whitefish) is the source of this 166-nucleotide long non-coding RNA. RefSeq lists it as uncharacterized. The transcript is spliced from 3 exons. NCBI's taxonomy places the organism in Eukaryota, Metazoa, Chordata, Actinopteri, Salmoniformes, Salmonidae. The record is from RefSeq and is a predicted model, not a curated record.
GACCAAUCAUACACUUAAAGAUAUCAGGCUCCGUGACAACCAGAUUACUGAUAAGGGAGCAGAACUCCUCAUGGAAGCACUGACUGAGAAUACCACUCUGGAACAUCUCUGGAUGUUUGACAACAAGUUAUCAAAGGAGGGAGUCAGGAAGCUGAAGGAGUUCACC